AGCUUGCUCCUGGAUUCAGCGGCGGACGGGUGAGUAAUGCCUAGGAAUCUGCCUGGUAGUGGGGGAUAACGUCCGGAAACGGGCGCUAAUACCGCAUACGUCCUGAGGGAGAAAGUGGGGGGUCUUCGGACCUCACGCUAUCAGAUGAGCCUAGGUCGGAUUAGCUAGUUGGUGGGGUAAAGGCCUACCAAGGCGACGAUCCGUAACUGGUCUGAGAGGAUGAUCAGUCACACUGGAACUGAGACACGGUCCAGACUCCUACGGGAGGCAGCAGUGGGGAAUAUUGGACAAUGGGCGAAAGCCUGAUCCAGCCAUGCCGCGUGUGUGAAGAAGGUCUUCGGAUUGUAAAGCACUUUAAGUUGGGAGGAAGGGCAGUAAGUUAAUACCUUGCUGUUUUGACGUUACCAACAGAAUAAGCACCGGCUAACUUCGUGCCAGCAGCCGCGGUAAUACGAAGGGUGCAAGCGUUAAUCGGAAUUACUGGGCGUAAAGCGCGCGUAGGUGGUUCAGCAAGUUGGAUGUGAAAUCCCCGGGCUCAACCUGGGAACUGCAUCCAAAACUACUGAGCUAGAGUACGGUAGAGGGUGGUGGAAUUUCCUGUGUAGCGGUGAAAUGCGUAGAUAUAGGAAGGAACACCAGUGGCGAAGGCGACCACCUGGACUGAUACUGACACUGAGGUGCGAAAGCGUGGGGAGCAAACAGGAUUAGAUACCCUGGUAGUCCACGCCGU
Molecule: ribosomal RNA, 730 nt
Filed under: bacterium SCSIO13295
Lineage: Bacteria
Description: bacterial SSU rRNA
Rfam family: Bacterial small subunit ribosomal RNA
Source: RNAcentral